This 253-nucleotide ribosomal RNA is filed under the name uncultured bacterium. RNAcentral describes it as "partial 16S ribosomal RNA". It matches the Rfam family "Bacterial small subunit ribosomal RNA", at positions 524 to 776 of the family's 1533-position model. The record is from RNAcentral.
UACGUAGGGGGCGAGCGUUGUCCGGAUUUAUUGGGCGUAAAGCGCUCGCCGGCGGCUCGAUGCGUCGUGCGUGAAACACCCCGGCUCAACUGGGGAGGGUCGUGCGAUACGGUCGGGCUGGAGGCCAGUAGGGGGAUGCGGAAUUCCGGGUGUAGUGGUGGAAUGCGUAGAGAUCCGGAGGAACACCAGCGGCGAAGGCGGCAUCCUGGACUGGUACUGACGCUGAGGAGCGAAAGCCAGGGGAGCAAACGGG